GACGAACGCUGGCGGCGUGCUUAACACAUGCAAGUCGAACGGAAAGGCCCUGCUUUUGUGGGGUGCUCGAGUGGCGAACGGGUGAGUAACACGUGAGUAACCUGCCCUUGACUUUGGGAUAACUUCAGGAAACUGGGGCUAAUACCGGAUAGGAGCUCCUGCUGCAUGGUGGGGGUUGGAAAGUUUCGGCGGUUGGGGAUGGACUCGCGGCUUAUCAGCUUGUUGGUGGGGUAGUGGCUUACCAAGGCUUUGACGGGUAGCCGGCCUGAGAGGGUGACCGGCCACAUUGGGCCUGAGAUCCGGCCCAGACUCCUCCGGGAGGCAGCAGUGGGGAUUAUUGCACAAUGGGCGGAGGCCGGAUGCAGCAACGCCGCGUGCGGGAUGACGGCCUUCGGGUUGUAAACCGCUUUCGCCUGUGACGAAGCGUGAUUGACGGUAAUGGGUAAAGAAGCACCGGCUAACUCCGU
This 467-nucleotide ribosomal RNA is filed under the name uncultured bacterium. Its description in RNAcentral is "partial 16S ribosomal RNA". It matches the Rfam family "Bacterial small subunit ribosomal RNA", at positions 28 to 506 of the family's 1533-position model. The record is from RNAcentral.